Molecule: long non-coding RNA, 2398 nt
Filed under: Salvia miltiorrhiza (redroot sage)
Lineage: Eukaryota; Viridiplantae; Streptophyta; Magnoliopsida; Lamiales; Lamiaceae
Description: long non-coding RNA (SMIL_LNC002614)
Source: RNAcentral
UCAAAACACGGGACUUAUUUAAAUAGACAGUAUCAAGUAGAUACGAGCACACGAUUCAUAUUACAGUUACAGAAUCACCGAGACAUAGGAAUAUACUUCAUUUAUUCACCACAAUCUCAUUCUCAGACUUUACAACCUUUUGCUCACAAUCAACUUUCAUUCAUAUCUUCCCAAUUAUACCAUAAUCUAGCAAGUACACAAAAGAAAGAAAGGGAGGUGGGAAGCGUGAGCUGUAAGAGGUCAGCCCCUCUCCACCCUUCCCUCUGGAGUCAAUCAGCCACCCCUAUGGCUGCCCCCAUCCCAUCUAACGCAUACAUCAGCCACCCUAUCUCUGCAUCCUUCUCCCUAGCACACUCAAGUGUGCAUACCACACCUAACAACUCCCUUUUGUUCCGGACUUCAGCAGCAAAUAACCUUCAUUUCAUUCCCAUUCCACACUUAGAAAGUUUCAGGACAGCAGUGACCUCCAUUCAUUCUCUGCCAGGAGGUAAAUCUCUUUAACUCUCUUCAACUCCUCCAAGAUUUCACCCGCAUUGAUGCAAAGAACAUUCACUUCAGUUUCAGUUUCAACCCAUUUAAUACCUCAAGAAAUCGAAGAAGCAAGAGGGAGCAUUCAUUCAUUGCUCUGCCAAACUUUAAGUUCAAUCAUUCCAGUUCGUUAAACUCAGCAACAAAUCACCAACCAACAUUUACAUCUUCAAGGUAUUUAUACUAUCUCAGUACACCCUCUCAACAUACACAUCUCGCAUCCAUAAGCAUGAUAGACAUAACAAAGAUACAGACUUAGCCCCAACAUUGUUGUUUCGAGAUUCAUUUUGCAUACUCAUCGACACUCCGUCACGGAAUAGAAAACAAAUGAGACUAGAGAACUUAGCUUUAAGGAAUAGGGCCGGCUGCCUGUUCGGUCAAGCCAAGACAACGACAACGACGGCGGCAGCUCUUGCUGCCUCGGAGGGAAUGGUGUAACAGCAACGGUGGCGUCGCGAAUGGAGCAACAACGCUGAAUCACCAGCCGUCCACAGACAGCAGAAGUGGCGGCAGAACCAUGGCGGCGGAGGUGGAAAGGAAUCAGGGCUCGACUCCCUGCCCACCUUGACGACUGAAUCGAGACCUGAACGGCUCGAAGGAGAAGGCGAGACGACGCCGGCUUCUCCGAUUGACGGCCAGAGAACCGCGACGGCAGCAGCGGCGAUAGUUGUAGACCGAGAUUAGGGCUUUUCAUUCUGUUUCUCCAGAGGCAGAUAGGAAGAGGUAGGCACCGAGCUAUAUAGAGAGGAAUCUGAGCAGCGACUCUGACGGAGAGUACGGCGGCGGAAUUUGGGCGAAGAAGAAAGUUAGGGCUCGACCAGGUCUUCGCUGGAAUGGUGGAAUGAGGAAGAAGCGAGACGAGAGGAGGCAAGGCGGUCAAUGGUUGGACGCCUGACCUAGGCUCGGCGGCAGCCGACGCCGGUCGGAGCAGAGGCGGCGGCUGAAACCUCGACUGAUUUUUGAGAGAGGCCGACUGUUCUUGAAAGGGGAAAAGGCCGACUGAUUUUUGAGAGAGGAGAGAAGGCUCGACUGAAAUUGAAAGAGAGAGAGAGAGUAAUUCAAUUGGGCCGACUGAUCUUGUGAAGAUUGGGCUUUCUCCUUAUUCUUAUUAGCUUGGGCUUCUUUCUUUUGUUUCUAAUUGGGCCGGUUGCUUUUAAUGUAUCCCUUUUAAUUAUUAAUGUGGGCUGAAACUUUAUAGACUUAUUUCAUUUGAGCCACAUUUUAUUUCAGUCGGGCCGAGUUCAUUUAAAUUUAAGCCCAGCAUAAAUCAUUCUAUUCUCGGGCUGAUUGUAAAUGAUGGAUUGGAAUUUUAUUUAGUUGAGCCUUGCAUACUUUAUCUAAUUUAGCUCAACUAUUCAUUAUUUAUUCAUUGGGCUAAGAUUUAUUUAAUUACUUGAGCCAAUGAAUUAUUUCAAUUGGGCCUCUCAUAUUAAUUAUUCAAGCCCACUUCUACUUAAUUAAUUAUUAGGCUGCCUUAUGUUGAGCCUUUUAAUUAUUUAAACUUAUAACAUUACUAUUGUUCCUACUUAUUAGCCCGAGUAAAUUUUACGGGGUUAUACAGCGAAUAAACCGAAUUAGUUAUUUACUACUACCAAUUUACCUCGAGUGAGAUUUAUUUAAUUGGCGGAUUAGGACACCCUGAAGAGAACGGAUUAUUAUAGUUAAUUGCUUGACCUCUUGAGGCGCAACCUAGAUGGUUCUUUCACUUGAUCCGAUAGCAAGGAUUGAUAGUAGAAUUUUUCGAUUAUUAUCUCAGAAUAAUAAUUCAUGCAUAAGAGGAUCAUGCAUCGUUAAUUUCGUAUUCUCAUUAUUUGAGGAUUUUGCUCGAGCAGUAUCUUAUUUAUAUUCUCAUAAUAAAGGUCAAGCGCGA